Molecule: ribosomal RNA, 252 nt
Filed under: uncultured bacterium
Lineage: Bacteria
Description: partial 16S ribosomal RNA
Rfam family: Bacterial small subunit ribosomal RNA
Source: RNAcentral
ACUAGGGGUGCAAGCGUUGUCCGGAAUCAUUGGGCGUAAAGGGUGCGUAGGCGUCCAGGAAAGUUAUUUGUUAAAGCCUCCGGCUUAACCGGAGAAAUGCAAGUAAAACUAUCUGGAUAGAGUUUAAGAGAGGAAAAUGGAAUUCCUGGUGUAGCGGUGACAUGCGUAGAUAUCAGGAGGAACAUCAAUGGCGAAGGCAGUUUUCUGGCUUAAAACUGACGCUGAGGCACGAAAGCGUGGGGAGCAAACAGG